UUAUGCAUGAAAUGAACCAGCCAGUGAUGGCCAAACGGGCGUGUCGUAACUAACUGACAUGUUUCAGUCAGGUGUGCCGAAACCUCCAUGGCAGAGGCUCUGUCGAACCCAGGAUAGGAACCACUGCUCUAGGCACAACCGUUUGUGACUUGAAUUAAAAACGGCAGGUUUUGCUAAAUUAAAUGUCACCACUAGGUGUCAGAAACUCUGGAUCAAAAAACGCCUUUGAGUGACACGUGCGACCUCGGCGUACACCGACGUGAAUACAAGCGAGGCAGUGUGCUGUGCAGGCGAGGCAGCCUGUGGCGACCAUAACACUAUGAGACCAGCUUUCUGGGAUCAUUAAUUUGAUUUAAUGAAUUAUCUUGAUGACGUUGACAACAAAGACGAUGGCAAAACGCGUGGAAUGCACCUCACAGAAUGAAGACACAACAACGACAACGUCAAACUUCAUGCGUCAUCACCAAACCAACAAUCAGGAAAAAGUGCAACACGAACCGUUGCAGUAAUUUGAACAAUUUUUCAUGUUGCUGUGGUGCCGUUCCAAUCAAACUAACGAGCAAGCAUCGCUCGCCACGGCGUCCGCUAACCAGAAGGUGAGUGGGCAGAGUGGGAGGAAGAUGAGGAGGAGGAAGAGGAGGAGAAGGCCAGCGCUAAAAGCUUGAACAAAAGCUAAAGAUAGCGCAGCGCUCGCGGGCACUCAGCUCGCCUCUUGUCAAGGUUGGACAAACUCAACACGAGCGCACCCUGACAGUCUCCACUCAGCUUGGUCCAAUUCUCGACUUAUCUAUCAAAAAACCCCAAACCUAAACUUUCCAGCAAACGAUUGCAUCCAGCUGAAAGUUUGAACAUGGAAAAUCCUGAUGUGGCUUGUUCAAGUGUGCUCAAGUAUCCAAAUGGAUUUCUUGGACUGACAAGUUUCAGCACACCUCAUACUCUGUGACUCACUGUCAGUUUCAGACUUCCCUGAGUCACUGCUCCGAGGCGGCUGCGCGCACGUUUCUCGGUUCGGCGCGGUGGGUGUGUUUGGAAGUCUGCGCGAACCAACUUGAGGAUGUGGCCCUGAAUGAAUAGCUGUUAGCCCCAAAAUACUGUCAAUUCAGGACUAUAGGAAACUCAACUGCAAUGCUUUAACAUGUUCAACUCUUAAAAUACACAAAAUUGAAUGCC
Hippocampus comes (tiger tail seahorse) is the source of this 1170-nucleotide long non-coding RNA. RefSeq lists it as uncharacterized. The record is from RefSeq and is a predicted model, not a curated record. NCBI's taxonomy places the organism in Eukaryota, Metazoa, Chordata, Actinopteri, Syngnathiformes, Syngnathidae. The transcript has 3 exons.